Molecule: transfer RNA, 64 nt
Filed under: Caenis sp. JYZ-2020
Lineage: Eukaryota; Metazoa; Arthropoda; Insecta; Ephemeroptera; Caenidae
Description: tRNA-Pro
Source: RNAcentral
CAGAGAUUAGUUUAAUAAAAAUAUAAAUUUUGGGGAUUUAAGACGGGGUUAGCCCUAUCUCUGA